AACGCGGCGUGGGCCGGGCCUCGCGUAGCCCAUCUCCUCUUCCUCCUGGCGGUCGCGGCCGGACGGCGGGUGGAGGGCCCUGCGCCUGCGCGGAGCUGGAGUCCGGCUGGGCCGCAGCCGCUGGGAGACCGGCGGUUGCCGUGGGGACCGGUCGGGCCCCUCCCUCCUCUGGUCCCCCGCCCCAGGUUCUUCCCCACCGAGACGCGCCGGCGGACCGCGGGCGAGUGCAACCGGUGACCCGGCGAGAGGCGGCGCCGCUCCCAAGAUGUCGCAGACGGCCAUGUCCGAAACCUACGAUUUUUUGUUUAAGUUCUUGGUUAUUGGAAAUGCAGGAACUGGCAAAUCUUGCUUACUUCAUCAGUUUAUUGAAAAAAAAUUCAAAGAUGACUCAAAUCAUACAAUAGGAGUGGAAUUUGGUUCAAAGAUAAUAAAUGUUGGUGGUAAAUAUGUAAAGUUACAAAUAUGGGAUACAGCAGGACAAGAACGAUUCAGGUAGCUUUUCUCUAACUUAAUAAAAAUAUUUGAAAAUUU
RNAcentral lists this small RNA (531 nucleotides) under Pongo abelii (Sumatran orangutan). Its description in RNAcentral is "retained intron". The record is from RNAcentral. Lineage: Eukaryota; Metazoa; Chordata; Mammalia; Primates; Hominidae.